AGAGUUUGUUCCUGGCUCAGGAUGAACGCUGGCGGCGUGCCUAAUACAUGCAAGUCGAACGCGGGCACUUGUGCCCGAGUGGCGAACGGGUGAGUAAUACAUAAGUAACCUGGCCUUUACAGGGGGAUAACUGCUGGAAACGGCAGCUAAGACCGCAUAGGUAGGGACACUGCAUGGUGACCGUAUUAAAAGUGCUGCAAGGCACUGGUAGAGGAUGGACUUAUGGCGCAUUAGCUGGUUGGUGAGGUAACGGCUCACCAAGGCGACGAUGCGUAGCCGACCUGAGAGGGUGACCGGCCACACUGGGACUGAGACACGGCCCAGACUCCUACGGGAGGCAGCAGUAGGGAAUUUUCGGCAAUGGGGGGAACCCUGACCGAGCAACGCCGCGUGAAGGAAGAAGGAAUUCGUUCUGUAAACUUCUGUUAUAAAGGAAGAAAGACGGAUGGAGGAAAUGACAUCCGAGUGACGGUACUUUAUGAGAAAGCCACGGCUAACUACGUGCCAGCAGCCGCGGUAAUACGUAGGUGGCAAGCGUUAUCCGGAAUUAUUGGGCGUAAAGAGGGAGCAGGCGGCAGCAAAGGUCUGUGGUGAAAGACUGAAGCUUAACUUCAGUAAGCCAUAGAAACCGGGCAGCUAGAGUGCAGGAGAGGAUCGUGGAAUUCCAUGUGUAGCGGUGAAAUGCGUAGAUAUAUGGAGGAACACCAGUGGCGAAGGCGACGAUCUGGCCUGCAACUGACGCUCAGUCCCGAAAGCGUGGGGAGCAAAUAGGAUUAGAUACCCUAGUAGUCCACGCCGUAAACGAUGAGUACUAAGUGUUGGAAGUCAAAUUUCAGUGCUGCAGUUAACGCAGUAAGUACUCCGCCUGAGUAGUACGUUCGCAAGAAUGAAACUCAAAGGAAUUGACGGGGGCCCGCACAAGCGGUGGAGCAUGUGGUUUAAUUCGAAGCAACGCGAAGAACCUUACCAGGCCUUGACAUACUCAUAAAGGAUCCAGAGAUGGAUAGAUAGUUAUAUGAGAUACAGGUGGUGCAUGGUUGUCGUCAGCUCGUGUCGUGAGAUGUUGGGUUAGGUCCCGCAACGAGCGCAACCCUUGUCGUUAGUUACCAUCAUUAAGUUGGGGACUCUAGCGAGACUGCCAGUGACAAGCUGGAGGAAGGCGGGGAUGACGUCAAAUCAUCAUGCCCCUUAUGACCUGGGCUACACACGUGCUACAAUGGAUGGUGCAGAGGGAAGCGAAGCCGCGAGGCGAAGCAAAACCCAUAAAACCAUUCUCAGUUCGGAUUGUAGUCUGCAACUCGACUACAUGAAGUUGGAAUCGCUAGUAAUCGCGAAUCAGCAUGUCGCGGUGAAUACGAUGUCGGGCCUUGCACACACCGCCCGUCA
Molecule: ribosomal RNA, 1386 nt
Filed under: uncultured bacterium
Lineage: Bacteria
Description: 16S ribosomal RNA
Rfam family: Bacterial small subunit ribosomal RNA
Source: RNAcentral